UACGAAGGGUGCAACCGUUGCUCGGAAUUAUUGGGCGUAAAGCGCACGUAGGCGGCUUUGCAAGUCGGAUGUGAAAUCCCUCGGCUUAACCAAGGAAGUGCAUCCGAAACUGCAGAGCUUGAGUACUUAAGAGGAUCGCGGAAUUCCCGGUGUAGAGGUGAAAUUCGUAGAUAUCGGGAGGAACACCAGUGGCGAAGGCGGCGAUCUGGGAAGAUACUGACGCUGAGGUGCGAAAGCGUGGGGAGCAAACAGG
This 253-nucleotide ribosomal RNA is filed under the name uncultured bacterium. RNAcentral's name for it is "partial 16S ribosomal RNA". It matches the Rfam family "Bacterial small subunit ribosomal RNA", at positions 524 to 776 of the family's 1533-position model. The record is from RNAcentral.